RNAcentral lists this ribosomal RNA (474 nucleotides) under Hibana sp. BOLD:AAN6306. RNAcentral describes it as "partial 16S ribosomal RNA". Lineage: Eukaryota; Metazoa; Arthropoda; Arachnida; Araneae; Anyphaenidae. The record is from RNAcentral.
UGCCUGUUUAACAAAAACAUUUCUAUUAGAUAUAAUUAAUAGUAUAAUCUGCUCAAUGAAAUUAAAUAGCCGCAAUUCUGUGCUAAGGUAGCAUAAUCAUUUGUCUUUUAAUUGAAGACUAGAACAAAAGAUUGAACAUUUUAAUUUAUUUAUUUUUUAAAAUAAUAAAAAUUAUUUUAAAUGUAAAAAAACAUUUAUUAAAAAGAAAGACGACAAGACCCUAUUGAACUUAACUUAAGUUAAACUGGGGCAGUUAAUUAAUUAAUAUUUUAAAUAAAAUAAUUUAAAAAAAUGACCUAAUACAAUUAAUUUUAUGAAAAAGUUACCAUAGGGAUAACAGCGUAAUAAUAAUUUAAAGCUCUUAUUAAAAUAAAUUUUUGCGACCUCGAUGUUGAAUUAAUUACCUAAUAAAUAACGCAAUAGUUAAUAAAGGAAGUCUGUUCGACUUUUAAAAAAUUACGUGAUCUGAGUUCA